UGGGGAAUUUUGCACAAUGGGGGAAACCCUGAUGCAGCGACGCCGCGUGAUUUAGAAGGCCUUCGGGUUGUAAAAAUCUUUUCUAUGGGAAGAAAAUGACAGUACCAUAGGAAUAAGUACCGGCUAAUUACGUGCCAGCAGCCGCGGUAAUACGUAAGGUCCGAGCGUUGUCCGGAAUCAUUGGGCGUAAAGGGUACGUAGGCGGGUAAGCAAGUUAGAAGUGAAAUCCUGUAGCUCAACUACAGUAAGCUUUUAAAACUGCUCAUCUUGAGAUAUGGAAGGGAAAGUGGAAUUCCUAGUGUAGCGGUGAAAUGCGCAGAUAUUAGGAGGAAUACCGGUGGCGAAGGCGACUUUCUGGCCAUAAUCUGACGCUGAGGUACGAAAGCGUGGGUAGCAAACAGG
Molecule: ribosomal RNA, 402 nt
Filed under: Bacteroidota bacterium
Lineage: Bacteria; Pseudomonadati; Bacteroidota
Description: Bacteroidetes bacterium partial 16S ribosomal RNA
Rfam family: Bacterial small subunit ribosomal RNA
Source: RNAcentral